RNAcentral lists this unclassified non-coding RNA (306 nucleotides) under plant metagenome. RNAcentral describes it as "partial contains 5.8S ribosomal RNA, internal transcribed spacer 2, and large subunit ribosomal RNA". The stretch from base 1 to 105 matches the Rfam family "5.8S ribosomal RNA", at positions 50 to 154 of the family's 154-position model. The record is from RNAcentral.
AAAAUGUGAUAAGUAGUAUCAAUUAUAGAAUUUAGUAAAUUAUUAAAUCUUUAAAUGUAUAUUACGCUUUUUAGUAUUCUAUGGGGUAUGCCUAUUCGAGCGUUAUCUAUAUCCUUAAGCUCUACUUAGUGUUGGGCGUUUGUCCUACCUUCGUGCGUAGACUUGCCCUAAAUAUAUUAGUAGUAGUUUUUAUUUCCUCCUGCGUAGUAUAUUACGCUUCUCGAGGCUGUAGCGGCCUAUGUUUAAUAAGCUAAACCCUCCUAUCUUUAACCUUAGAUUAGGUAGGGAUACCCGCUGAACUUAAGC